Molecule: ribosomal RNA, 752 nt
Filed under: uncultured bacterium
Lineage: Bacteria
Description: bacterial SSU rRNA
Rfam family: Bacterial small subunit ribosomal RNA
Source: RNAcentral
GAAUCUGUCGUUUAGUGGGGGAUAACGCAUCGAAAGAUACGCUAAUCCCGCAUACGCUCCGCAAGGAGGAAAGGCGCAAGUCGCUAAACGAGGAGCCUGCGGCCCAUCAGGUAGUUGGAGAGGUAAAGGCUCACCAAGCCGAUGACGGGUAGCUGGUCUGUGAGGACAACCAGCCAGACUGGGACUGAGAACGGCCCAGACUCCUACGGGAGGCAGCAGUAAGGAAUUUUCGUCAAUGGGGGAAACCCUAAACGAGCAACGCCGCGUGGAGGAUGAAGGUUUUCGGAUUGUAAACUCCUUUUGUGAGGGACGAUAAUGACGGUACCUCGCGAAUAAGCCCCGGCUAACUCUGUGCCAGCAGCCGCGGUAAUACAGAGGGGGCAAGCGUUGUCCGGAGUUACUGGGCGUAAAGCGCACGUAGGCGGUUGUGCAAGUGGUGUGUGAAACCAAUCAGCUUAACUGAUUGACGCCAUGCCAAACUGCACGACUAGAGUUAUGGUGAGGUUGCUCGAAUUGCCGGUGUAGUGGUGAAAUGCGUAGGGAUCGGCAGGAAGACCAAGGGAGAAAUCAGGCAACUGGCCAUAUACUGACGCUCAGGUGCGAAAGCGUGGGGAGCGAACUGGAUUAGAUACCCAGGUAGUCCACGCCGUAAACGAUGUAUGCUCGGUAUUUGGAGCUGUUAAGGCUUUGGGUACCUCAGGAAACCCGGUAAGCAUACCGCCUGGGAAGUACGAACGCAAGUUUAAACUCAA